CAGCCGCCGCGGUAAUACGGAGGGUGCAAGCGUUAAUCGGAAUUACUGGGCGUAAAGCGCACGCAGGCGGUUUGUUAAGUCAGAUGUGAAGUCCCCGAGCUUAACUUGGGAACUGCAUUUGAAACUGGCAAGCUAGAGUCUUGUAGAGGGGGGUAGAAUUCCAGGUGUAGCGGUGAAAUGCGUAGAGAUCUGGAGGAAUACCGGUGGCGAAGGCGGCCCCCUGGACAAAGACUGACGCUCAGGUGCGAAAGCGUGGGGAGCAAACAGGAUUAGAGACCCGCGUAGUCCCUGUCUCUUAUAC
RNAcentral lists this ribosomal RNA (301 nucleotides) under uncultured bacterium. RNAcentral's name for it is "partial 16S ribosomal RNA". It matches the Rfam family "Bacterial small subunit ribosomal RNA", at positions 509 to 807 of the family's 1533-position model. The record is from RNAcentral.